RNAcentral lists this ribosomal RNA (210 nucleotides) under Prevotellaceae bacterium. Its description in RNAcentral is "partial 16S ribosomal RNA". It matches the Rfam family "Bacterial small subunit ribosomal RNA", at positions 1 to 200 of the family's 1533-position model. The record is from RNAcentral. Lineage: Bacteria; Pseudomonadati; Bacteroidota; Bacteroidia; Bacteroidales; Prevotellaceae.
ACAACGAAGAGUUUGAUCCUGGCUCAGGAUGAACGCUAGCGACAGGCCUAACACAUGCAAGUCGAGGGGCAUCAUGGAUGGUAGCAAUACUAUUUGAUGGCGACCGGCGCACGGGUGCGUAACACGUAUGCAAUCUGCCCGUAAGCGGGGGAUAACCCGGAGAAAUCCGGCCUAACACCGCAUAUAUCCGGUUUUUCGCAUGGGAGAUUG